AAGUGCACCCUCCUCAGAUGGGGAUGGGGAGUGGCCUUCACUAGGGUGGUCCUCCUGGCUGAGCAGGGCCGGCCCAGGGGAGGGCGGGGCCAGCACGUCCCCAGAACAGUGCCUGUCCAGGGGCACAAGGGUUCACUGAAGACUCAGGAGAGGGGUUUAGAGCACAGCCUCCCUCUCCAGGGUCAGGUUCACGGGAGCUGUUGGGGGCUCCUUCCCUCGCAGCAGUGACCACUCCAAGGACCACGGCCUGGACAUGAGCGGCAGCGGAGUCUAGAUGAAUAUAGGCAGCAGCCAAAGGCCACAGUCACGACAAACCUACACACUCUCACCACUGUCAUCUCAUAUUGUCCUAAAAUUUCCAGCCAGUGCAAAAAAACAUGAAAAAGAAAAAAUACAGCCAUUGGAAAAGAGGAAAAGUAAUUGUUAUUAGCUGAUGAUGUGAAUGUCUUCCUGAAAACCUUAAGAGAACCAACUGGAAAACAACCAGAAAUGAGAGCAUGGAGUUAGGCAACCGCCGAUCUGCUUUCUGUCACUUGGGCGAGUUUUUCCCGUCCUGGGAUUUCAUAUCUCUGGAAUCCUGCAGUACGUAGCCCUCUGUCUGGCUUCCUCGCUCCGUGUAAUGUUCUUGAGAUUCAUCCAUGCAGCUGUGUAUACCUGCAGUGAUUGUUUCUCUUGUUGAAUUGCUGAGAAGGGUUCCAUCGUAUGCCUUUUCCAGUUUAUUUGUUCAUCUGUUGUUAGACAUUUGAGUUAUUUCCAGCUUGGGACUCUUAUGAACAAAACUGCUAUAAACAUGCAUAUUCAAGUCUUUGUGGAUAUGUGCUUUCUUUUGUCCUGGAUAAAUGUCUCCACGUGGGCUUCCUGGGUCUCACGUUACCUCCUCUGCUGAAGGCUUGAACCCUUCAAAGUCAUCCGUGAGGGCUGGAAUCAACUUCUUCCAAACUCCCGUUAAUGUGAUAUUUUGACUUCUUCUCGUGAAUCAUUAUUGUUCUUAAUGGGAUCUAGAAAGGUGAAACCUUUCCAGAG
This 1023-nucleotide long non-coding RNA is filed under the name Homo sapiens (human). RNAcentral describes it as "HSALNT0360758". Lineage: Eukaryota; Metazoa; Chordata; Mammalia; Primates; Hominidae. The record is from RNAcentral.